GACGAACGCUGGCGGCGUGCUUAACACAUGCCAGUCGAACGGAAAGGCCCUGCUUUUGUGGGGUGCUCGAGUGGCGAACGGGUGAGUAACACGUGAGUAACCUGCCCUUGACUUUGGGAUAACUUCAGGAAACUGGGGCUAAUACCGGAUAGGAGCUCCUGCUGCAUGGUGGGGGUUGGAAAGUUUCGGCGGUUGGGGAUGGACUCGCGGCUUAUCAGCUUGUUGGUGGGGUAGUGGCUUACCAAGGCUUUGACGGGUAGCCGGCCUGAGAGGGUGACCGGCCACAUUGGGACUGAGAUACGGCCCAGACUCCUACGGGAGGCAGCAGUGGGGAAUAUUGCACAAUGGGCGGAAGCCUGAUGCAGCAACGCCGCAUGCGGGAUGACGGCCUUCGGGUUGUAAACCGCUUUCGCCUGUGACGAAGCGUGAGUGACGGUAAUGGGUAAAGAAGCACCGGCUAACUACGUG
This 468-nucleotide ribosomal RNA is filed under the name uncultured bacterium. RNAcentral describes it as "partial 16S ribosomal RNA". It matches the Rfam family "Bacterial small subunit ribosomal RNA", at positions 28 to 507 of the family's 1533-position model. The record is from RNAcentral.